UACAUUAGAUACCCGUGUAGUCCCAGCCGUAAACUAUGCUCGCUAGGUGUCAGGCAUGGCGCGACCGUGUCUGGUGCCGCAGGGAAGCCGUGAAGCGAGCCACCUGGGAAGUACGGCCGCAAGGCUGAAACUUAAAGGAAUUGGCGGGGGAGCACAACAACGGGUGGAGCCUGCGGUUUAAUUGGACUCAACGCCGGACAACUCACCGGGGACGACAGCAAUAUGUAGGCCAGGCUGAAGACCUUGCCUGAAUCGCUG
RNAcentral lists this ribosomal RNA (258 nucleotides) under uncultured archaeon. RNAcentral's name for it is "partial 16S ribosomal RNA". It matches the Rfam family "Archaeal small subunit ribosomal RNA", at positions 725 to 982 of the family's 1478-position model. The record is from RNAcentral.